Molecule: ribosomal RNA, 460 nt
Filed under: uncultured bacterium
Lineage: Bacteria
Description: partial 16S ribosomal RNA
Rfam family: Bacterial small subunit ribosomal RNA
Source: RNAcentral
CCUACGGGAGGCAGCAGUGAGGAAUAUUGGUCAAUGGACGAGAGUCUGACCCAGCAAAGUAGCGUGAAGGAUGACUGCCCUAUGGGUGGUAAACUUCUUUUAUAUGGGAAUAAAAUGUUACACGUGUGGGAUUUUGUAUGUACCAUAUGAAUAAGGAUCGGCUAACUCCGUGCCAGCAGCCGCGGUAAUACGGAGGAUCCGAGCGUUAUCAGGAUUUAUUGGGUUUAAAGGGAGCGUAGGUGGAUUGUUAAGUCAGUUGUGAACGUUUGCGGCUCAACCGUAAAAUUGCAGUUGAAACUGGCAGUCUUGAGUACAGUAGAGGUGGGCGGAAUUCGUGGUGUAGCGGUGAAAUGCUUAGAUAUCACGAAGAACUCCGAUUGCGAAGGCAGCUCACUGGACUGCAACUGACACUGAGGCUCGAAAGUGUGGGUAUCAAACAGGAUUAGAUACCCGGGUAGUC